This is a non-coding RNA of Podarcis muralis (Common wall lizard), 242 nucleotides long. The record is from RefSeq and is a predicted model, not a curated record. NCBI's taxonomy places the organism in Eukaryota, Metazoa, Chordata, Lepidosauria, Squamata, Lacertidae.
CAAAGUUUUGAAAUUCUAUGCCAAGACAUUUUCUUCCUCUCCGCUAAAUAUGACAAGGGAACUGUAUACAAGUUUGGCAAAGUAUUUAGAGAUGUACUUCCUUUCUGAAGAUAGUUAUGUUCCUACCAUAUCAAUAGGUAUUGAUAUAAGCAACCCAGAUAUAAUCCGUUUACUUAAAAAGAUACGUCUGCUAAAUGAGUACCAGAGGGAAGUACCAUCUUUCUGGAUUCGUCAUCCAGAAA